UACAGGGGGUGCAAACGUUGCUCGGAAUCAUUGGGCGUAAAGCGCACGUAGGCGGUUCGUUAUGUCGGAUGUGAAAGCCCUUGGCUUAACCGAGGAAGUGCAUCCGAAACUGGCGAGCUAGAGUACUAAAGAGGAUCGCGGAAUUCCCGGUGUAGAGGUGAAAUUCGUAGAUAUCGGGAGGAACACCGGUGGCGAAGGCGGCGAUCUGGGUAGAUACUGACGCUGAGGAGCGAAAGCGUGGGGAGCGAACAGGA
This 254-nucleotide ribosomal RNA is filed under the name uncultured bacterium. RNAcentral's name for it is "partial 16S ribosomal RNA". It matches the Rfam family "Bacterial small subunit ribosomal RNA", at positions 524 to 777 of the family's 1533-position model. The record is from RNAcentral.